AAAUUCUGGUAGCAACAUUGUGCAGUAUGAGCGAACCAUUUCACCAAAAAAAGGGGAAGCAAGGCAAGACGUGGCUGCAGCGGUCUGCAGACGUGACUUCUGAUCAAAUUCGAACCUCCUAAAGAAACAAAGAGCGACAUUACAUUGCGGGAUGACGUCACCUGAAAAUGACCAAUAGCGCGGGGCGCUGCUGAGCUGUGUGCCAACCGCUCUUUUUUUCAUGCAGGAGACUCAAGUUGGCUUCGCUAACGGACACAGUUUUGAACUCGUAUAUUAGCGCCAUUUAUUGCUGCUUGGACCACAGCAUCUUCGGAAUUUGUAGACAUCCUGGCAGCUUACAAUUAGUUCGAGGUGAGGUAGUUCAGUCAUCAAGGGGCUACGUGCUUCAUUGUAAACUGCAUUGGAAUGAGCCACGUUGUUUCUUUCGGUGUAUUGAAGCAGGCUGCAAGCAGACAUACACCAGACACUGAAUUUGAGCAGAAACCAUAAGGAUACUCAAAGGACCUGUGACUCUCAGGAAAUGCAUCAAAUGAGAGGGACAGAUGAAACAGUUUCAAGACAAUGGCAGGAAAAACAUGCUGAAGAUUGAAACAAACCUUGGCUGGAAAUAUUUGAAGGUAUCUAGCCAGUCCACAAUGAAAGCUUCGUUGCACCCCAUGAGUCUUCUGGCAGAAAUGAUGGCGCCUGUAUUCUUUGGUUUCCCUAAACAUCACACCCUGCCUGUUUAUACGAGGCUCUUCAAUUAAGUCUGCACCCAAAGAUUCAAUAAGAGAGGGGAUCCUGCCAGUCCAAAGUGAACUCCUGAUGGACAUUGAAGUACUCCUGCAGAGCUUGUAUCUUCGACACCGUGUGCAUUAGAAACUCCACUGAGUCCUUUCCUUCACCAAGGCAGGACCCAGUGACUCAUUACUGUUGAUAGGUCAGGGGCAGGUAAUAUUUUGUUUCAUGUUUAUUCAUUCCUCCAUGGAUUACCAGCCAUAUAUAUGGACACAUGCUGUAUUCUCAAGAUCUAUGCUGUUUUGUAGGAAUAGAGAAAAUGAUAUGUUUAGUCUGUUUUCAAAUGGUAUGUCAAAUUUUCUCAUUCUUUAUCAGUAAUAUUCACUACCUUGGUUAUAUAUGAGCAUCUUUAGAUUUUUCUAUAUUUAGCGGUUGCAAAUGUAAAAUGUACGGUAAACCAUUUAUGUUCCUCAUAGUGUACUGUAUUUUUAGCGGUAAAAUACCGGCAGCUGUGGUUGCCAGGAAUUUACCGUAAAAUGUAUCUGGUCAAAAUAAAAUGCUGUAAUUUGUUAUACAA
Oreochromis niloticus (Nile tilapia) is the source of this 1294-nucleotide long non-coding RNA. RefSeq lists it as uncharacterized. The record is from RefSeq and is a predicted model, not a curated record. NCBI's taxonomy places the organism in Eukaryota, Metazoa, Chordata, Actinopteri, Cichliformes, Cichlidae. The transcript has 6 exons.